UACGUAGGGGGCGAGCGUUAUCCGGAAUUACUGGGCGUAAAGCGCACGCAGGCGGUUCGCCAAGUUUGGUGUGACAGUUGUCGGCUCAACCGACAAAGGACUUCAAAAACUGGUGAACUUGAGGACGAGAGAGGAACAUGGAACUCCAGGUGUAGUAGUGAAAUGCGUAGAUAUCUGGAAGAACACCAAUGGCGAAGGCAAUGUUCUGGCUCGUUUCUGACGCUCAGGUGCGAAAGCCAGGGGAGCGAACGGG
Molecule: ribosomal RNA, 253 nt
Filed under: uncultured bacterium
Lineage: Bacteria
Description: partial 16S ribosomal RNA
Rfam family: Bacterial small subunit ribosomal RNA
Source: RNAcentral